Molecule: transfer RNA, 127 nt
Filed under: Pyrenophora teres f. teres
Lineage: Eukaryota; Fungi; Ascomycota; Dothideomycetes; Pleosporales; Pleosporaceae
Description: tRNA-Ala
Rfam family: tRNA
About the family: Transfer RNA (tRNA) molecules are approximately 80 nucleotides in length.
Source: RNAcentral
GGGCUCGUGGUUUAGUGGUAUAAUACUCCCUUAGCAUGGGAGUGGUCCGGGGGUGAGUUGACCUCGCACCUUGUUACAAGGUUUCAUUCGUACUAACAUCCAAUUAGUUCGAUUCCCCGCGAGUCCA